This 337-nucleotide unclassified non-coding RNA is filed under the name soil metagenome. Its description in RNAcentral is "partial contains 5.8S ribosomal RNA, internal transcribed spacer 2, and large subunit ribosomal RNA". The stretch from base 1 to 120 matches the Rfam family "5.8S ribosomal RNA", at positions 35 to 154 of the family's 154-position model. The record is from RNAcentral.
GAUGAAGAACGUAGCGAAAUGCGAUAAGUAGUGUGAAUUGCAGAAUUCAGUGAAUCAUCGAAUCUUUGAACGCGCAUUGCGCCGCAUGGUAUUCCGUGGGGCAUGCCUGUUCGAGCGUCAUUUACCCCCUCAAGCUCCGCUUGGUAUUGGGCGUCUGUCCCGCUUCGCGCGCGGACUCGCCCCAAAGGUAUUGGCAGCGGUCGUGCCAGCUUCUCGCGCAGCACAUUGCGCUUCUCGAGGCACCGGUGGGCCCGCGUCCAUCAAGCUCACCCCCCCAGUUUGACCUCGGAUCAGGUAGGGAUACCCGCUGAACUUAAGCAUAUCAAUAAGCGGAGGA